CGGGAGGCAGCAGUGGGGAAUCUUGCGCAAUGGGCGAAAGCCUGACGCAGCCAUGCCGCGUGAAUGAUGAAGGUCUUAGGAUUGUAAAAUUCUUUCACCGGGGACGAUAAUGACGGUACCCGGAGAAGAAGCCCCGGCUAACUUCGUGCCAGCAGCCGCGGUAAUACGAAGGGGGCUAGCGUUGCUCGGAAUUACUGGGCGUAAAGGGCGCGUAGGCGGAUCGUUAAGUCAGAGGUGAAAUCCCAGGGCUCAACCCUGGAACUGCCUUUGAUACUGGCGAUCUUGAGUAUGAGAGAGGUAUGUGGAACUCCGAGUGUAGAGGUGAAAUUCGUAGAUAUUCGGAAGAACACCAGUGGCGAAGGCGACAUACUGGCUCAUUACUGACGCUGAGGCGCGAAAGCGUGGGGAGCAAACAGGAUUAGAUACCCUGGUAGUCCACGCCGUAAACGAUGAUUGCUAGUUGUCGGGCUGCAUGCAGUUCGGUGACGCAGCUAACGCAUUAAGCAAUCCGCCUGGGGAGUACGGUCGCAAGAUUAAAACUCAAAGGAAUUGACGGGGGCC
Molecule: ribosomal RNA, 561 nt
Filed under: uncultured bacterium
Lineage: Bacteria
Description: bacterial SSU rRNA
Rfam family: Bacterial small subunit ribosomal RNA
Source: RNAcentral